Danio rerio (zebrafish) is the source of this 569-nucleotide non-coding RNA. The record is from RefSeq and is a predicted model, not a curated record. NCBI's taxonomy places the organism in Eukaryota, Metazoa, Chordata, Actinopteri, Cypriniformes, Danionidae.
AAGUGUGUCGUUGGAGACGGGAUGCGUUUUUAGUUUUAUAUAUUAAAUCACGUCUGUGAUCUUCUUUAAAUGGUCUCGAGCAGCAGAUAAACAUGACAUCUAACGGAUGAUCAGCUUCUCAACUGAAGGGCUCCUCCUUGUGGACAUGAAGCAUAUCUUACAGAACUGAACCACAGAGGGGAAAUCACUCUUACUGACUGACUUAGAUUGCAUGGGGAAAUGCAGAUCUACCUCUGCCUUUUCCUGUGACAUUGCCUUCCAUACUUAUUCAGGUAAACUCAGCUGUGUUUUUUUUUCUAGUGCUUUUAAUAAUUACAAUAGGUUUAACCAAUAGGUGGCGACAAACAGCCAUCAAAAAUAUUUCACUGAAUAAUUCUUGAGAAAUGACACAUCUCGUAAUGAAACAUGAAGUUUUAUGAGUGAAUUAUUGAGUCAGUAAUUGAGAAUGAGGCUAAAAAUAAAUAUGACGUGUUGUACAAGAUUAUAAGGUUACAUUUAUACAUUUAUCAUUAUCAGCAACAGUAGCAAAGAUUUGUCCCAUUAUUUGACUAUUGAACUUUUUUAUUCAG